This is a non-coding RNA of Chlorocebus sabaeus (green monkey), 989 nucleotides long. The record is from RefSeq and is a predicted model, not a curated record. Lineage: Eukaryota; Metazoa; Chordata; Mammalia; Primates; Cercopithecidae.
GAGCUGGAGACUAGAACUGUUCCUAUUUGGCCAUCUUGCUCCGCCCCCGCCCCCCUUUUGAGUAAUUUAUGAAUAAUGGUGUUGCUUAUUAGGGGUCAAGUUCAUUGAAGAAUAGUGACCUAUCAAAGUUUCAGUGUUCUUCUCAUCUUUGGUCCAGAAUUACUUUUAUUCUUUUAUACACAUAGUGGUCACCAAUUGCACAAACAAUUAAAGUGGGAAAAAAAAAAAAGAAUCCAUCAUAUUGAUCAUUGUUGUGUUUUCUGCUAAUAGGAGGAAAAAUAGUAGGAAAUAAAAAAAUAUAAAAUAUUAUCAGACUCUCAUUGACAAUGCAUCUUUAGCCCUCGUGUUCUCCCUUCCUCCAAAAGUCACAUUCCCUGCACUCUUGCCCCAAAAUGAUACCCUUAUAAGAAUAAACCAGAGAAUGUGCAGGUUAGAGGAGAUUAUAUGUUGAUUGUUUACAUACAUCAGUGACAUUGGGGAUAGAGGUGACUGCUAAGUAGAGCUACCAUCUGCUCUCUGGACAAGCACCAUUUCCCAUUCCAUUUGUAAGAGGCACCUGUUCAAGUAACUGCCUUAUUACCACUGCUAUGUCAAAACUGUAAUGCUGUUUUGAUUUUCUUUAUAGUUUGAUGUGCUUUAAAUGAUAUAUAUAUGUCAUUUAUAUGUAUAUAUACCUUUGAAUGUUACAGGCUUUGCUCUCUGUACAUAAUACUGUGGCUCAGAAGAAUUAUGACCCUGUGUUGCCUCCUAUGCCUGAAGAUACUGACAAUGAGGAAGACUCAGUAAAAAUAAUUUGUCUGGUCAAAAAUAGAGAACCACCAAUUCCCUAAGAUGAACCUGUCUGAUUCUCUUCAUUCUGCUGUCUGCUUCUGGACAACAAUGGGGCUUGAUUCUGCAGUAGAUCCUGUCCAGAUGAAAAAUGUCACCUUCGAACAUGUUAAAGGUACAGUGUCUGGCUCUGUCACCCAGGGUGAAGUGCAUUGGUGUGA